This 1254-nucleotide long non-coding RNA is filed under the name Sus scrofa (pig). RNAcentral describes it as "lncRNA (ENSSSCG00070007255.1)". Lineage: Eukaryota; Metazoa; Chordata; Mammalia; Artiodactyla; Suidae. The record is from RNAcentral.
AAAAAUAAUAAUAAUAAUAAUAAAAUUUUCAGAGUAGAAAAGUUGCUAAAAAGUUUUUAAGGGUUUUCAUGCGAAUCUCCUCAGAAGGUUGCCAUUAAUUAACCUUAACUCUACUUACUCCAUGUCCCAUUGUCUCCCCAAACCAGAUUUCAAAUACCUGGGGAAAGAACCUGAUUGGCUCUGCUAGUCAGGUGUCAUCCAUACCUGAAAGAAUCAGCCCUAUGUGGGGCUGUCCUGGAGAAGCAGGAAGACUGUGCUAGGUUGGCACUCCAGAAAGUUCCGGCUCAGGAAACUUAAGCCAAGUACACAUCACUCAAAGCCACAUGAUUUUCAGGAAAAGGCCGGAGUUGAGGGUGCCUGAUUUCUUUUGCCUCGCCUGAGAACAGGUCUGUUUUGCUCAAUGUCCUACAAUAUUUGAUAGAACUGGAUUCAAAUAUGGUGCAUCAUCACCUGAUUCCCCUAUCGAUCAUAUGCAGGUCUGAAACUAAAGGUGCCAUGGAAUUGUCUCCCAUAUAAUUCUGAAGGUGCUUGAUCUACUCUCUCUUAAUCCCAAGACUUGUCAUUCAGAGGUCACCAUCCUCUUAGAAGGAAGAAUCAGUAAUAGAAAACAGAAGUAAUAGACUCACUCCUGCAUAGUAAGUCUCUCUGUAUUAGUGAUCAGAAGUAAGGGGCAGCUCCAUUGGCCUGUUACCUUGGAUCAUCAUGAGUAAAAACAUUCGGAUGGUAGAAAGUAGAGGGAAAUGAUUGGCAAUUAAAGGCCUAGAAGUAAUUUUCUUUGGAAUUUUUUUUUCUCCUUCUCAUCUUUCAAGUUGAUGUGGACAUUUCUCUUUGAAUGGCGCAGCCAAUAGGUGAGUUGAUUCUUGGUGAUAAUCAUAGAUAAGGUUAAUCUCAGGAUUAGGUUAAAAAAAAAAAGAGGGGGAAUAAGCACUUUCUCCCUAAAUAUUUCCUACUGAAAUAAUCACUGUUGCAAUCACAGAAUGUCUCCUAUAACUCUUUGAAAUGAUUGAAGUGAGCCCUCACAUUCUUUCUGGCAAGGUGAAUUCCUGGGUACAUUUCACAAAGUAGAACUUCCAACCGCAUUGGCAUUUCCAAGAAUAUAUCUGGAAAAAAACAAAUGAAUCUUAACUCUCUAAGAGCUCUUUGUCUGUUUUUAACCAGUGGUGAGAAAUAUAAGUGGGGACAGUGAAGAACAACCUGUACCAUACAUAUUGGACAGUCUUCAGUUUUGAGAGCUGGAAAGCCUUUAGAGAUCAU